AGGGGUAUAGCUUAAGUGGUAGAGUGCAUGCCUAGCAUGCACAAGGUCCUGGGUUCAAUCCCUAGUACUUCCU
Molecule: transfer RNA, 73 nt
Filed under: Camelus bactrianus (Bactrian camel)
Lineage: Eukaryota; Metazoa; Chordata; Mammalia; Artiodactyla; Camelidae
Also listed under: 3 other names
Rfam family: tRNA
About the family: Transfer RNA (tRNA) molecules are approximately 80 nucleotides in length. Their secondary structure includes four short double-helical elements and three loops (D, anti-codon, and T loops).
Source: Rfam by way of RNAcentral